AAAUUAAUCAUAAUUUUUAUUCAUAGCUUUAUUAUAUGUCACAAGGUAAUUGACAUAAAAUAAUUUUAAUUCAUAGCUUUACUUAAUUGUGUUUUGUGUGACAGCACCAUCCAACCCAUUUGCUGCAACACCAUUUUUGUGGUUGAUAUUCGGCAUUACUUUGCUGUUGUAUAAUUUCACUAAGAUCCUGACGAGUACUUUGUGUGCUUCCCAUCAAAGUACUAACAAUCACUAAGAGCACCAUCACAAACUUCAAAAUCAUCUUCAUUGUAGAUUCCAUUAUGAAUUUGCAAAAUAUUAAAUAAAUUGAAAUGAUGCAUUUUCAAUAGUAUCUAUCUAUCUAUAUAUAUUACCAUUAAAUAAUAUUUUAUUUAUUAUUAUAUUUUUAUUAAUUUUUAAAUAUGAAACUUUUUAAACAUUCUAUAUAAUAUUUACGUAUUUAAAUUUGUAAUUUAUUUAAAUAAUUCAAAUACUGAAUAAAGAAAUUUGUUGUUCUUUAAACUAAUUUCUAAUUUUAAUUAUCAAAAUUUAUAUGCACAAUUAAUUAUUUAAUAAAAUAGUCACUUGAUUUAAGGAAUAUAUUAGUCUUACACUAAAUUUAAUUUUAAAUAUUAAAAUCAUCUACCAAGACUUUUUUUUUAAGUAUUUCUAUAAUUUUUAAAAUAUAUUGAUAUUUUAGAGUAGAAACUUAAUUCUAAAACAUAAAUAAGAUUGAAUUGAAGUUAUUAAAACUUCUUAAAAAAUUAAUAAUAUGUCUGUCUUGAAAAUUGAAUAGAUCUGUUAUUUUAUUAUUCCCUUGAAUAUGUGUCAAUAAUUUAGAAAUUGCUUCGAAUUCCAUGAACACCAAAUUUCUUUGUAAUAUAUAUAAGUAAUAAUGUGAUUAAUUUUUCAUACACAUGUUCCUGCAUUAAUGUAAUAUUUUAUAUAUAUUUAAUUUGAUUGUUAAUAUAAAUUGUUAUAUUAUAUUUAUUUAAUGUAUUAUUUUAGUACGAGUACUUUGAAGAAUAAAUUUUUUGUUAUAGAUGAGUAAAAUAAAAACUAUUAAGAAUUUUACGUGGUUUAUCUCUAUAUUUAGUAUCUAUGUAUUUAUCUAAUGUAAUAUUUUCUGUAGUAUCCAGCGCUGUAAAAAGAUACAACAACGUUCUUUAAAAUAAAAAAAACGCUGUAAAUCUCUUCUAAAAACGCGCUGCUUGUUGUAUUAGUUUUACGACGCUUUUUAAAAAAAGCGCUGUAAUAUCCAUUCCUUUAUUUCAAUUAGAUCUCUUUCCGGGAUUAUAACAACAAUCUCCUUCAUGAAUCGUAAUAUACAGUAUCCACAGUCUAUGUUGUUAGUUUGACGAGAGCACUAUAAAAUAAAACAAAUAAGUCAAUAAAUAUUUGUAGAUUGAUUGUUAAUGAAAUUUUAAAGCCAUACAUUUCAAACCUUUAUUGGAAUCCAUGUGAUUUAUUUAAUUUUUGCUUCGACACUGUAGCACCCAUUUGAGCUCGGAAAACUUGUAAAACACUAUCAAAUAAAUGUGAUUAUUAGCAUUAACAGACACAUUAUAUAUAUAUAUAUAAGAAUAAAUGAAUACAAUACCUGAAGAGUGCGAAGAAAUACAUAGAGUUCAUAGGGUUACGGUUUCGUUUAAGAAGAAACAGCGAGAAUGUGCAGAAAUACGAACGGUUCGUAGGACAGAGUAGGGUUCUCAUUGAGAAGAGUACGUAAUAAUGUUUGUAGGGAUAGUAACAAAUAUGGAGAUGAUUUGCAAUGGAGAUGGUUAACAAUAUGGUUCAUAGGGACAUUAGGGUUCGCAAUGAGAAGGAUAAUGAAGAGGAGAAGGACACUAAAGUGUAGUGAAGUUUAUGUAAUAAAGAGGAAACUGAAGCGAUUUAAUGUUAUAUUUUAUUUUUUAAAAGCCUAUUACAGCGCUUUUUUUAAAAAGCGUUGUAAAAGACCUCCUUAUUUUACUUUUAAAAGCCUAUUACAGCGCUUUUUUUAAAAAGCGCUGUAAAUGAGAGAGACACCAAUACAAAAUAUUUUCAUGCUUGUAUGUGGAGGGCAAACAUUAUCAUAGGAAUCAAAUUCUUGAAAUUCAAGGAAUUGAUGGUGUGGUGUAUGGGGUUCGGGAGGUAAAAAAGAAGUUAAAAAAAAUUAUAGGCAUUAUGUGUGGAGGAUAUUUUUUCAAGACCAAUGCUAAGUGGAAUUCAUUUUAAGAAAACCGACGAGGUUGAUAACUUAAUAUUGAUUGAUAAAUUCUCACCAGAAGAUAUCAAAUAAAUUGUUUGGAGUUGUGAUGGAAAAAAGAGUUUGGGUCUUGAAGGAUUCAAUUUCAUCUUCUUUAAGGCAUGUCGGGAUAAAGUCAAAGCAAAUGUUAUAAGCUUUGUAAAUGAAUUCCAUGAAGAUUUGAAAUUACCAAAAGGAAUCAUUGCCGUCUUUUUGGCACUUCUUCCAAAGAAGGAUAAUUCAAGACUCUUGAAGGAGUAUAAGUCGAUUUCGUUAAUUGGUAGCUUAUAAAAAUUUGUUUUCCAAAAUCUUAGCAUAAAGAUUGAAGAAUGUGCUAGGAACCGUUAUUUCAAGAAAUCUAACAAUUUUUUUUUAUCAAAGUGCCAAAUAUUGAUUAAUCUAACAAAGAGGGGAAAAGGUAAGUGUAUUGUGUUGAAGGUAGAUUUUGAGAAAGUAUAGGAUUCAAUCAAUUAAAACUAUAUGGAGUUUAUGAUGAGUGACACAAGCUUUACCUCUUGUUGGCGAAGUUGGAUGAAGGCAUGUGCGUUCUCAAGUACCUUGUUAAUGCUUGUAAAUGGUAUCUCUAAUGAAGAAUUUCAAAUUCGAAAGGGGCUUAAGAAGGGGGAUCACUUAACACCUUUUCUAUUCCUAUUAGUGUUUGAAGGACUAUUUGGGAUGGUGAAAAAAGCUGUGAACCCAGGUUUAUUUCACGGGUUUCAGGUAUCUCAAAACAUUUCCUUUCCCAUACUACAAUUUUCUAUGAUACUAUUUUGACGCAUGACGAAAGUUGGGAUAAUUUGUUGGCAUUUAAAUCCAUACUAAGGGGUUUUGAAUUAGUAUCUGAAUUGAAAGUGAAUUUCUUCAAGUGUCGUAUCUUUUGCAUUAAUAUACAUUAGAAUUUUAUUCGAGCAGCCUCAACUUUUUUAUCUUAUGAGGAUGGUGUUAUCCCAUUUUAGUUUUUGGGAUUACUUGUUGGUGCCAUUCUUAGAUGCAAAAGUACUUGGACUCCUAUUUUAGAAUCUAUGAGGAUAAGACUAUCGAGUUGGAGUUAAAAACAGAUUUCUAUGUGUGGAAGAGUUACUUUGAUAAACUCGAUGCUUGAAAGUUUAUCUUUGUAGUUCUUAUCUUUUUAUAAGAUUCUAAAAAUAGUAAGUAAAGAGAUUAUUUCUAUCGAACGAAAUUUUCUUUGGAGAGGAAAUGAAGAAAAAAAGAAAAUGAUGUUGGAAUGGAUGGAAUAAGAUUUGUUUACCUAAGGAAUAUGGAAGUCUUGGAAUAAAAAAAAGUGGAAACCUUCAAUGAAUCCUUGUUAUUCAAAUGGAAAUGGAGGUGUUUGGAGGAUCAUCUUCAAUGAAAAUUCCAUUACAGCUUUGCAAAAUUUUAAAGAAAUUGAAAUGAUGUAUAUCCAAUGAUGUCUAUCUAUAUAUACUACAAUUAAUUAUUAUUUUAAGUAAUAUUUUAUUUAUUAUUAUAGUUUUACUAAUGAUUAAAUAUAAAACUUCAUAAACAUUCUAUACGACAUUAAAUACUGCUUAAUCAUGUUGGUAAGAAUUAUUUACAACUUGAGAAAUAUAGGUAAUGAAUAUUUUAAUUGCACUAUGGUUAAACUUAAAUAAUAUUUUUAUGUAAAAAAUGAUAUAUUUGUUGUUACAGGAAAAAAAAAAUGUGAAUACUGAGAAUAAAGAAAAUAUUUAAGAAAAAUAGUUGAAUACUGAAAAUAUUUAAGGAAAUUAUUUAAAGAAAAAUAUUUGGAGUUAUAAUUUAUACAAAUAAUUCAAAUACUGAGAAUAAAGAAAUUUGUUACAAAACUAAUUUCUAAUUUUAAUUAUCAAAAUUUAUAUGCAUAUUUUAAUAUUUAAUAAAACACUCAUUUGAUCAUUAACUCAUGAAUAAACUAUAUAUUAUUAAUCACAAAAACAAAAAUAUUUAAUUAACAAAUACUUAUAUAAUUUUUAACUCAACACACACAUAUAUCGUGCAAAUGUUGACUUGUACUAUGAUCAAGUUUUUGAUAAUGUUUAUUUAAACUUAUUAAAUUGACAAUAUUAAGGAAUACAUUAGUCUUACACUAAAUUUUAUUUUAAAUAUAAAUAAAAAUCUAUCAUUAACGUUUUCACGUAUUUCUGUAAUUUUUAAAAUAUGUUGAUUUUAGCGAGUAGAAAUUAAAUUCUAAAAAAUAAAUAAGAUUGAAUUAAAUACUUAAUAAAUUAGCCAGUAAUUAACUAUAUAUUACUAAUCACCACAAAAAUUUAAAUUUAUUUAACAAAUUUUUAAAUAAUUCUGUAACUCAACUUAUAUUUAUAUCGUGCAAAUGUUGUACGUUGACCUAUUUUUCAGAUGAGGUUUAUUUAAAAUUACCAAAUUGACAAUAUUAAAAAAUACAGUAGUCUUACACUAAUUUAAUUUUAAAUAUAAAAAAUCAUCUUUCAAAAGAUUGUUUAUAAGUAUUUCUAUAAUUUUGAAAAUAUAUUGAUUUUAGAUAAUAGAAUCUAAAUUAUAAAAAGUAAUCAAAUUAAAUUGAUGUUAUUGAAAAAUGUGGAGAUAAUGUUCAAGAGGUAGAUGUAACGAUAGUAAAACUCUGUGAGCAGAAAAUGAAUCAAAAAAAAUUCUCUUCACUAUAUUAAGAACAAGCACAGAAGAAUAAUUUAAUUGAAUAUGAUUAGUGAUUCAUUUCUUGGAAUGAAAAGGUACAAAUUUAUUGCAACAUAAUUUAAAAGAGAUUCAUUCACAAGGAAUGCCACUAGAGAAAGGAAAGACUCGUAUCCAAAAUGAUCCCCUUAAUCAUUCCUUCAUUCCCUUUAUUUGUAUUGACAAGAGAAAUAUUUUCUAUUAGGGAUUCUUUCUCUCUUGCCCCUCAUUCGCUCCAUGAUGCAAGGAUCAUUCACCACAUGUCCUUGAUUUCCUUAUUUUUGUCCUUUUCCUUCAACAUCCAUUUGUUGUCAACUCCAUAUAUUAUCCUUAUUAAUCACAUUACUCCCCUCAUUAACAAGAACCUUGUCCUCAAGGUUAGGAUAAUUGGUAUGAAACUCAGACCAAUUUUUCCAAGUAGUUUCGGUUGGUGCCACGCCUUCCCACUGCACUUUUACCUGGCGCAUAGGCUGACCAUUUUGAAUGACAGUACGGUGAUCCAUAAUGGUAAGGGGCAGCACUAUUGGUCCUUGCUCAGUGGUGGUAAAUGGUAGUGGCAACAACUGUGUAGAAUGAUCUCCUUUACAUAAUUUCAAAGUAUAAAUAAGGAACACAGGUCAGAUUUUUGCAGUUGGAGAAAGCAUGAGCUUAUAAGCAACCUAACCAAUUUGUUCUAUCACAGGAAUAGGACCAUAGUAACGCAUACUAAGCGUGUGAUUACGCCUUUAAACAACUAAGUGUUGUCUAUAUGGUUGCAAUUUGACAAGAACCAUAUCACCAACUUGAAAGUCAACACAACGACGUUUGGUGUCGGGAAACUUUUUCAUAAUUUGUUGAGCGCGUGCCAGAUUAGAUUUGAGAGCUGUAAUGGUAUCAUCUCUUUCAGUUAACAUUUGUUGCAACAAGGGAGGAUCAUCAUUGUUAACUUCAUAAUGAAUUAGUCUGGGAGGAUCGCGCCGUACACUACUUUGAAAGGUGUCAUUCCAAUACUAGUUUGGAAGGAAGUGUUGUGCCAAAACUCGGCCCAAGACAAUAAUUUGGACCACUGUCGAGGUGAUUCACUAGUGAAAUAGCGUAGGUAAAGCUUCAAACAUUUGUUACCAGCUUCAGAUUGCCCAUCAUUUUGGGGGUGAUAUGCAGUGCUCAUAACCAAGGUAGUGCCACUGAGUUUGAACAAAUGCUGCCAAAACUGAUUGGUAAAUACACGAUCUCUGUCAAAUACAUUUGUCUUAGGAAAACCAUGAAGUUUAACUACUGUGUGAAGGAAGACUUCAGCAACUUUGGAGCUAUUAUAAUCAGCUUUGAAGGGCAUGAAGCGGCUAUAUUUGAAAGUCUGUCAACAACCACAAAAAUGACAGUGUAAGUAUUGGAUGAAGGCAAUCCAGUUAUGAAGUCCAUUGAUAAAUCCUCCCAAAUUUGUUGUGGAAUGUUUAGUGGAUGUAGUAACCUUGCUGGCAAGGCAGUAGAAUGCUUUGCUUGUUGAUAAAUUAAGUAUUUCGAAAUGAACUCAUUGAUAUCUUUUGCCAUAAUAGGCCAAAAGAAUUUAGAGGCUAUGCGAGCUUUGGUGCGUGUGACUCCAACAUGGCCCCCAAUAGCAUAAGAGUGAAAUUCAGUCAAGAUGAUGUGAAUCAAGUCGAGCUUCUGAGGUAUCACCAACCAAUUUUUCCAAAAUUACAUGUCAUGCUUGACCUAAUAAUGUGGUGUAGAAUUGGUUCCCAACAAGCAUUGAUUUCGAAUCUUCGAUAAAGAAGGGCCAUUGUUCACACCUGUAGGUAUCAUUGAGAUAAGUUAAGGAGUUUGCAUAGACAACACCAAGCAGAAAAAACAUGAUAGACUAUCAGCUGAUAUGUUAUUAAUACCAGGUUUGUAUUCAAUAGUAAAAUCAUAGCCAAGGAAUUUGUGAAGCCAAUGUUGUUCCUCUGGGGUUUAAAUUGACUGAUCAAUGAGGGAUUUGAGGCUGUGUUGAUCAGUUUUGAUAACAAACUUAUGGCCAAUGAGAUAAUGAUGAAAUUUUUCCAAAGCUUCAGUGAUGGCAUACAACUCUCGCACAUAAGCGAAAUGUUUUUGCAUUCGAGGGCACAAUUUCUUUGAGAAAUAUGCAAUAGGAUGGCGAGCUUGACUGAGCACAACUCCAAUGCCCGAACCUGAUGUGUCUGUUUCCAAGGUGAAGGGUAAUCAAAAAUUUGGAAAAUUCAAAACACGGGCUUGUGUGAUGGUCUGUUUGAGCUUAUUAAAAGCAUUAGUAGCAGCUGGUGUCCAAAUAAAAGAAUUUUUCUUUAACAAUCCGGUCAGUGGUGAAGCAAUAGCAACAUAAUUGCGAAUAAAGCGCCAGUAAUAGCCAGAUAACCCAAAAAACCCACGAAGCUGUUUGAGUGAAGUAGGGAUUUUCCAUUCCAAUACAGCUUGAAUUUUUUAUUUAUCCAUCUCAACCCCUUGAGUGGAUAUGGUGUGGCCUAGAUAAUCCACUAAGGUGAGACCAAAACAACAUUUGGUGAAUUUGGCAAACAACUCAUGUUGUUGCAGCAGUCCUAACACAAUUUCCAAAUGUUCACGGUGGGAAGACCAAGAGUGGUUGUACACAAGUAUAUCAUUAAAAAAAAACCAUUAAAAACUUGUGCAAUUGGUCACGAAAAACAGAGUUCAUAAGACUUUGAAACGAAGCUGCGAAGUUGGUUAACCCAAAAGGCAUGACAAGCCAUUCAUACAAACCUUGUUGAGUUCUAAAACCAGUCUUAUGACGAUCCUCGGGAUGGACUAGGAUUUGGGAAAUCCAACUUAGAAAAGUAAGUGGCUCCAAAAAAUUCGUCUAACAAUUCAUCCAUUGUGUGUAUCAGAAAACUAUCCUUGAUUGUAAUCGCGUUUAAUGCACGAUAAUAAAUGCAAAAGCGCCAGGAUCCAUCCUUCUUAUUUACUAACAAAACUGGUGAAGAAAAUGGACUCGUGUUGGGAUGAAUGAUGCCUUGCUUCAACAUCUCGGACACCAUCUUUUCAAUCUCAGCCUUCUGAAUGUAUGGAGAACGGUAGGGUUUGACCUUCACAUGGUUACUCCCAUCAAUGAGAGGGAUCGAAUGAUCCUGAUCUCUAGGUGGCGGUAAGCGUGUGAGUUCAUCAAACACAUUCCAAUAAUUAUGUAACAGAGUAGCCAAGUCAACCAGGAGAUUCUCAAGAGAAGCUGUUGAUGAUGGUUGUGCUAUGGAAUGGAAUUGCAAUGUAUAUGAUAAAUCAAUAGAAUGAGUAUUCUGAAGACGACGAAUGUGAUGAAAUUGGGAUUGUCCUGGUUUUGUGAUUUGAUUACCUCUAAUAGUGAUGAACUUGUUGUUGAGGUAGAAUUUAAUAGACAAAGCCUCGUAAACCGCAAUGUGAGGACCCAAAGUCUUAAGCCAAGGCACACCCAAAACCAAAUCAGUGCCAGUAAUUGGUAGCAAAUACACCGGAAAGUGGAUAAUAAGACCUUGAAUGGGUACUAGCAAGUCCUGGAUCAACCUAGAAGUUGUUAAGGUGCUACCAUUGCCCACGAGGACUUGAAUUGAGGAGCUUUGUGGAUUGUUAGUUUCAAGCAUUGAGAAAUACAUGGUUGGAGAAAGUUAUCAGAGCUACCACUAUCAAGUAAAACUUGUACUUGGACACCUUGAAUUUGACCCUGGAAACCAAUUGUGCCAGCACUAUACGCUCCUUUGAGAGCAUGAAAUGAGAGGUGGUGCUCUGACUCAAGGACAACGAGUAAUGGAUCAGAAUCUGGAGGAUCCGUUUCUGGCUCUGGUGGAUCUAAAUUAUCGACUUGCAACAAGAGGUAGUGUUUAUUAGGACAACGAUGGGUAGGGGAAAACUUUUAAUCACAAUAGAAACAUUGUCCUUUGUCUCGCCGAAGUUAAAUCUCAGCCGCGGUGGUACUACGAAUUGGACGAGCUCGGGAAGUUGGAGGUUGGGAAUGGGUUGAAGGAGUGGGUAAGAGAGUGUUUGUGGGUCGGGUCAGGGAGUGUGGGCUAGAAUUGGAGAAAGAUUGUGGGUUGGGGGAUGAGCUUAGUAAGUGAGGUGUAUUUUUCCUAAAAGAGUUUGGCUAGGGAUAAGGAUUUGGAUAAUGAGAUAGGGUUUUGGGAUAUAACAUCGCGGCGAAGGUCAGGCUUAAGUCCACUCACAAAACAAUCCAAAAUUGCAUCUGGUGAGAGACCUUGGGUGCGAUUAGCAAGUGCGGUGAAUGUGGAAUAAUAUUCAGAGACGGUGGUGGUUUGGGUUAAUUUGAAAAGGGUGGGUCUGGGAGAUUCAUAUGGCAACGGUCCAUAUACCAAUUCCUAAGCACGAGUGAAAGAUACCCAAGAUCUAAAAGGAUUGUUACGAGUAAUCAUUUGAUACCAAGGCACCACAUCCUUGUCCAAAUGCACUGCUGCUAUGGUGAGUCGGUGGUUGUCCGGCAUCGAGUAAUAAUCAAAGAAUUGAUGAGCUUUAAAGAUCCAAUUUAAUACCUCAGUGCCUCAAAUAUGGGAAAAUCAAGAUUCACGUUGUGCACCUGGAAAUGUUGUUUUCGCGAUGAGACGUUGGAGUUCAAGCUAACAUUCAAAGCGGCAGAGAGCUAGAAAAUGCCAAGUUGUGCCUCGACCUGCUCGAGGCACGUCAUAUAAGCAUGACAGUGUUGCAUGUAGUCAUUAUGUCGUGCGUCGGCGUCCUUCACCAUCUUCUGUAUUGUGGCGUGGAUGUUGUUGAUUGCAGCUUCCAUACCUCUUUCAUACGAGUAUUUUCCGUCAUGGUAUGGUCAACGAAAGCACCAAAUGUAACAAUAGUAAAACUCUGUGAGCAGAGAACGAUUCACAAAAAAAAUCUAUUCACUAUAUUAAGAACAAGUAUAGAUGAAGAAUUUAAUUGACUAUGAUUACUGAAUCAUUUCUUAGAAUGAAAAGGUACAAAUUUAUUGCAACAUAAUUUAAAAGAGAUUCAUUCACAAGGAAUGCUACUAGAGAAAGGAAAAACUUGUAUCCAAAAUGAUUCCCUUAAUCAUUCCUUCAUUCCCUCUAUUUAUACUGAUAAGAGGAAUAUUUUCUGUUAGGGAUUCUCUCUCUCUUGCCCCUCCAUUGCUCCAUGAUGCAAAGAUCAUUCACCACGUAUCCUUGAUUUCUUUCUUUUUGUCCUUUUCCUUCAGCAUCCCUCUGUUUCCAGCUCCAUAUAUUAUCCUUAAUCAUCACAGUAAAUGAAGCGACAAUACUUCAUUUAUAGACGAAGUUUGUAGCGGGUUGUACUCGUGGUCGAGUUAUGGCGUUGGAGAUUUGUUUGUCAACCUUUGGCGUGGGUGCACAUCUUUUACCCAACAAUCUGAUAAUCCUUAUGGGUCCAUGACUGUGAUCUCUUUCGAAACGGCGAGGGAUGCUAGAAUUAAAGCAGACGACUUAUUGAACAAGGGACUAAUUAAAUUUAGUCGGAUUCAAGGACGAAUUAUAACUUAAAAAUUAAAAUUGACCCGAUCAAAUAUUAUAAUUUAGUAAAUAACACACAAAAUCAGACCUAACACGUACUAAUAAAUAUAUUAGGCAAAGUGCUAAAAUUCCUAUUUCCAAGGCUUUCCGUAAAUUUAUUAAACUAAUAGAAGCAAUUAUGAGAAUAUAACGAAAGCAACAAACAAUUAUCCGCAAUGCAGUUGAGCUUUAAUUACAAAUUUAUGAGUAGCAUUGAACUCUCAACACACAAAGAUUAUUAAUUUUGUGAUUAAUCAAAGACCAUUUUCAGUGAUAUGAUUCCAAUGUUUAGUAAUAUAUAUAUGAAUAUUUUACAAAUUCUUGUAAAUGUGAUUAGACUGGAAUGGAAAUAUUACUUACAGUUAAUAAAUCAUAAUUUGGUUUUCACUAACAUGUAAACGUGAUUAGCGUAGAAAAUAUCUAUUUAUUUAUCUAUUAUUUUAUGAAAUAUUUUAUUUAUUAUUAUAGUUUUAUUCUGAAGUAGUAUUGAAAAUGAUUUUAACUACUUAUUUAAAUAUUUUAGUAAAGAUAUUUGACUAACCUUCUUCGAUUUUGAUCAUUCUAUCAUUAAAUUAAAAUUUUAAUCAUAAACCUCUUUUCCACUUCAAAAUUUGUGCUGUAAUAUUUAAUUAUUUUUCUUUUGAUAUUUUUUUCCUUCUUUAGUCAAAUAAAAUAAAAAUCUUCUUACCACUAUAAUAAUAAGAUUUUUUAUUUAUAUAUAAACAAUUUUGUUAAAGAAAUAUAAAAGUUAUUUUAACUCUUAAAAAAUCAUUGUCCAAUCCUUAAAUGUUAGCUUAAUUAACAUAAAUAUCAAUAUUAUUAAAUUAAAUAUUUUAUUUUGAAUUCUAACCGAACCAAAAUAUCUAAAUUAUAUAAAUAAAUUAUAAUAUAAUUAAUUAUUUUUUUAAACUAAUAAAAUAAAAUUACUAUUCAUAUUCAGGUAUAAAUCGAACACUUUCUAAAAGGGUUACAAUAUUGUAGGAUUUAGAAUGGGGAGCUUCUAAUGCGAUCGUCCGAAAAGAGGAAAUAUUCUAUACCGUCUAAAUCCAAGAAGUUGAAAUUUUAUAAAUAGAAAAAAAUAUAUUUAAUCAUUAAUUUUUAAUGUAUAGUUAGAGACAUAUAAAUAAUCAAAUACAUGUUUCUCUAUUAACUAAUUGAUUUGUAAAUUAUCACAUUUUAAUUAAGUUGUUAAUGAUAAACAUAUGUUGUGCAUUUUUUGUCUUCAUUUUUUGUGUAUAUAAUUUGUAUGAGAAAUUAUAAUUAGUAUAUUAUAACUUUUUUUAUUUAAAAAAAUUCUAAUGACAAAUUAAUAAUCUAAUGCAUAUUUUUCUAAAUUAAUAGAUUCAUGAAUGACAAUCUUAAAAUAAUUAAUUAGUGGCUAACAUUUGUCCUGUAUAUGAUUUGAUAAAUUAUUUAUGGAAAAAUAUUAGAAUUCAAAAUUUAUCCAAAUAAUUAAUAUAUUGAAUAAAGAAAUUUAUUGAUCAUAAAACUAAUUUCUAAUUAUAAUUUUUGAAUUUUAUAUACAUAAUUAUUUAAUAAAAUAGUUAUUUGAUAACUGAUCCAAUACUUAAUUAACUAUAUACUAUUAAUCAAUACUCAAAAUUAAAUUUUAUUUAACAAAUAUUUAAAUAAUCUUAUAACUCAACAUAUUUAUAUAUAUAUAUAUAUAUAUAUAUAUAUAUAUAUAUUUGUUAAGAGAAAAUCUCAAUUUAAAUGUUUUGAUAAUAAUUAAACAAAAGGUUAAUCAAAGACUAUUAAUUAUGAUUCUAAUUGUUUUGGUAUUUAACAUGUCCAUUUGAGUUUGUUAAACAAGAUAAAUAUCAAACAUUACAAAGCAGAUCGCAUUAAAAUCAAAGAAAGCAAAAACAGUAAAACGAAGGUUGAUCUUGAAGUAGUUUUGGAAAACGAAGAUCGAUUUUCGUUUUUGGCAGAAAUAAGAAUAAUCAAUUUAUGUGUUAGAAAUUGGAUCCUGGAACUUUAUUCAUCUCUUAUCUUUAUCAGAGAAUAAACAAUGAUCAAUCUAAAUCAUAAUCAUUCCCGAAAUCGACGGAUCAAAAGAUAUGCUUCAUAAAAAGCUGAAAACAAGAUUAUUCUUCAAGUGAGAAAAUUACAAGUAUAAAGUUGCAAGUUGUAAAAGUACACUGCUGAUUGUACUGUCAAUUUAGACCUACACACGUGACUGAAAAGCAAGCAAAUCAUCUCAGACAACUGACACAAUCACAAGUACAAGUCAGCUCAUCACGAACAAAUUUGAAGAACGAUCAUGGAUGUCAAGAACGUUCCUGGAUUGAGCAUAAUCACUUUUGCUUUAUGACUGACUUUUUCCAACCAAUCCUUAAUGACAGCUGGCCCUAUUUCAACGGACAUAUGAGCUGUCCUAAAAGUCUAUUGAAGCUUAUAAAUACAGCUUAAGGAUAAAGAACAAUAUACAACUCAAAGUGUCAAGAAAAGCAUCAAUCAUACUCAAGUGUCUCGAUAUCAUUCUUAAAGCUUGUUGUUUUUAAUUUUUGUGUUGUGUUAGAAUCAGUAUCAUCUGAGUUCUAUUUACAGAAUCUAUUUCUCAAACAAGAGUUGAGAAAAUAUCCAGAUUCUAAACAUUCUCGAAAUCCUCACUUUGUAACUCAAGAUUAUUUUGUUAACAUAAGCUUGAGUGUUUUGUAAAAAUCCUUUCAUGUUUUGAAAGGUAACUCGCAAAAUCCUUUCUGAAAUAGUAAGGUAGAACUGAGAAAAUCCUUUCUAGGUAGAAGGAUAGAAACUUUAUAAAGAUCAAGAUUGAUUUGUGAAAAAUAGUGUGAUAACCAAGAACAAUCUUGCCUUUGAGCACAUAGUAGAAAAUCUCACAUUUGUGAGGACUGGACGUAACCCGUAUUUGGGUAAACCAGGAUAUAUGCGUGUGUAAUCUCUUUAUCUCUAUCUCUAUUUACUUUAUGUGUGACAAUCAGAUUUCAUAUUGAUAACAUUGAUAUUGUUGUUUUUUACUAACCAAAAUCAAUCUUCAUUAUAUCUAAGAUCAAUCUUGAGUUGAAGUUUCAGUUCCAAACAUAAUUUUUUUUAAUAUAUAUAUAUACGUAAGCAAUAAAAGAGGACCCUUUGUAUAAGGCUUGUGUUAUAGAUAUAUUAGGGAAACUGCUAAAAGUUUUUUCUAAGGCUUCUGACAAAUUUCUUCAACUAAUAAAAGCAAUUAUGAGAAUACAAUGAAAGCAACAAACAAUUAUCAACAAUGAAACUCUCAACUAACAAAGAUUAUUAGAUUUAGGGAUUAACUAAAUACUAUUUUAAAGGAUAUAAUUCCAAUUAAUAAUAUACGAAUAUUUUACUUUCUUGUAAAUUUGAUUAGUGUAGAAAGAAGAAACUAUUACAUAAAAUUGAUCAUACAGUUUCUUUAGAAGAAUAAAAAAAAUUGCUCAUGCACCCAAAUAAAACUCACAUGCUGCAAAAUUGAAUGCUGAAAAUAAUUAAAAACAACAAAAGUAAAUAAAUCAUAAUUUUUAUUCAUAGCUUUAUUAUAUGUCACAAGGUAAUUGACAUAAGAUAAUUUUAAUUCAUAGCUUUAUUUAGUCGUGUUUUGUGUGACAGCACCAUCCAACCCAUUUGCUGCAACACCAUUUUUGUGGUUGAUAUUCGGCAUUACUUUGCUGUUGUAUAAUUUCACUAAGAUCCUGACGAGUACUUUGUGUGCUUCCCAUCAAAGUACUCACAAUCACUAAGAGCACCAUCACAAACUUCAAAAUCAUCUUCAUUGUAGAUUCCAUUAUGACUUUGCAAAAUAUUAAAUAAAUUGAAAUGAUGUAUUUUCAAUGGUAUCUAUCUAUCUAUNNNNNNNNNNNNNNNNNNNNNNNNNNNNNNNNNNNNNNNNNNNNNNNNNNNNNNNNNNNNNNNNNNNNNNNNNNNNNNNNNNNNNNNNNNNNNNNNNNNNNNNNNNNNNNNNNNNNNNNNNNNNNNNNNNNNNNNNNNNNNNNNNNNNNNNNNNNNNNNNNNNNNNNNNNNUAUAUAUAUAUAUCUCAUGCAAAUAUUGACUUAAUCUAUGAUCCGUUUUUCAGAUAAUGUUUAUUUAAACUAAUUAAAUUAACAAUAUUAAGGAAUAUAUUAGUCUUACACUAAAUUUAAUUUUAAAUAUUAAAAACAUCUAUGAAAGACUUUUUCUAAGUAUUUCUAUAAUUUUUAAAAUAUAUUGUUUUUUAAAAAGCAUAUAUCAUGUGUGAGGAUAUGAAAAAUAUAAAUGUUAAAUGCUUGGAUAAUGUCUUAUGCAAUAUAGAUAAAUUCUUGUUCAUUUUUUAGUUCCUCGAUCCUUAUAUGAUCUUAUACGCCCACAAGAUUUAAUGGAUGAAUGAAGAUAACAACUAUUUUUGCAUGAUGAGUCUAGUACAUCUCAUGUGACCCUUUUUUCGAGAUGAAACAAAUUCCAUUGUUUAAAAUGAUUACACUCCUUUUAUUUUGCACUCAUAUACGUUGAGAAUCUAUCGAGUUCUCAUGUAUAUAUUUUUCAAGUGUCAAAAUACUUAAAUUAUUUUUUAUAUUUCCACAUAUUUCAAAUUCCAACAUUUAAUAUUAUUAAAUAACAUAUUAAAAUGUUAGAACAAUCAACCAUGAAACUGAAUUAAUUUAGAAAGAAUAUAACGUACAACAUCAAAUUAAAACAUUGGAAAACUACAUUCACUACAUUGAGAACAAAACAAUUGGGAUUACAAUGUAUGGAUGAAUGUAUUUAGCUUUGGUUGCAGGGAUAACAAAAACUGAUUAUUCUAAUAAUAUAGGACUCCUUUUGGUUUGCUUCAAAGAACCACAUUUAUGCAAGUAUUAGAGCUCCCCUAGAGAAAGCCUAUUUCACAACAUAUGAUCUUUUGUAGUUCAGAGUCCAUUUUCCACGAGAAUCUUUUUUUAUGGGCAUUCCUUAACACUAAGCCUCUUUCUUGAAACUCUCAAGUACAUACCUUUUUCUAGUAGGCUUUUUUAAGUCUUUUUUUAUAUAGUUGACCAUGACAUUGAGCUAUCAUUCUUUUUUCUUCUAUGAUAUUCAAUUGAUCAAAUGGUGAUUGAACCCACUCUGCCUCUUUUAGUUUUGUUUCCAUCAGGAUUCUGAUCGAGGGAAUUUCAACUUCAUUGGAAAGUACCGCUUCCAUUCCAUACAUUCCAUAGCCAUGUAAUGCAAAGGGAAGCACUUUGUAUCAAUCUUUAUAUGUCUCUACCAUCUUUUGUAUGAUUUUCUUGAUAUUCUUAUUUGCUGCUUCUACAACUCAAUUCACUUUUAGAUGAUAUGACGAAGAAUUAUGGUGCUGAAUUUUGACACUACCACACAACUCCUUCAUCAUUUUGUUAUUCAGAUUGGUCGCGUUAUCAAUAAUAAUCUUAUUUCUCAAGUCAUAUCGACAAAUCAAUUCUCUUUUGAUGAAUAUGACAACCACACUAAUGCACAACAUGUCCGUUCAAGCAGUGAUCAACAAUAAUCUUUUAUGGCAUAACAUGUAUCGUCUCAAUCGAAGAUCAUCCCAUGCUAAUGCACAACAUAUUCAUUCAAGCAGUAAAACCUUGUUUCACAACUGGUGCACUUUUUGCCAGAUUCAUCAUGUUGCCCUACUACACAACCCAUUGACUCGUCAAGUACUGUUAAGUACAUAAUAAGUGGUUUUCCAGGAACAAGAGGCACUAAGAUUGGAGGUUUGGACAAGUACUGCUUAAUCUUCUUGAUAUCCUUUUGACAAUUCUCAUUCCAUUUAACCUUUUGGUCUUUGUGCAACAUCUUGAAAAUUGGCUCGCAUGUAGUGGUGAGAUGUGAUAUGAACCUGAAAAUGUACCCAUAAAGCCACAAGCUUAUUUUUAGUGUUUGGAGCCGAUAUUUCUUAUAUUGCUUUUACUUUAUCUGGGUCCACCUCUAUCCCUUUUUGACUAACGAUAAACCCAAGUAACUAGUUUGAUCUCACACCAAAAGUUCACUUAGCAGGGUUUAAACAUAGUAUGAACUUCCUUAGUCGUAUAAAUAAUUUUUGAAGGUUAUCAACAUGGUCUUCAUCGAUCCGAGACUUUGCAAUCAUAUUGUCCAUUUAAACCUCUAUAUACUUAUGCAUCAUGUCAUGAAACAAAGUUUCCAUUGCUAUUUGAUAGGUUGCCCCAACAUUCUUCAAUCCAAAUGACAUCACUUUAUAGAAAAAAGUUCCCCAUUGUAUGAUGAAUGUAGUUUUCUCCAUAUCCUCGGGAGCCAUAUAGAUUUGAUUGUACCCUGAGAAACAACCCAUGAAGGAGAAAAAAGAAUAUUAAGCAAUACUAUCCACCAUAACAUCAAUAUGAGGCAAAGGGAAACAAUCGUUAGGACUAGCUUUAUUUAAAUCCCGAUAAUCAACGCAAAUUCGAACCUUUCCAUCCUUUUUUUGGAACUUGGACAAUAUUAACAACCCAUUGAGGAUAUUUUUCCACUGCUAAGAAACCAACAUCAAAUUGCCUCUUGACCUCUUUUCUAAUUUUAAAUGACAUACCAUCCAUCAUCCUUUUUAUUUUUUUGUUUCAUUGGAGCACAUUCAAGCUUGAGCGGUAGCUUGUGUUCAACUAUGUUAGUAUCUAGCCCAGACAUAUCCUGAUAAGACCAUGCAAAGACAUCCACAUAGUCAAAUAAAAUUGUUUCUUCUCAUAUUUAGUCCUCAAAUUGAUCACCUCAACAGGUUCUUGAUAAGUCUAUAUUAUCUUAGCUUCCUGUUCCAUUAGCCUUUCUAGUUCUAGGGGAGGUUCAUAAUUAUCUUCAAAAUCCUCAUCACCGUGAUUAAUUGAGUGUUCAAAAUUAUAAGAAUGAGUUCUAGCGCUGUUAUUUUCAACAUAUUCAUUUUCGACUCCGCAUUGUUUAAAUUAAGAAGAAAAAGGAAAAAAAAAAAGAAAAUAUAACGGUUGGAGAAGUCAAAAAUGCAUUUAUUGAUAAUAAGUAUGAAAUCAAAAUACAUGUGCCCUAAUUAGUUAUCCUUAUAGCCUUGGGAAGAGCAAAAUGAGUUGAAAUACAUAAUUACUUUGAACAUUAAUUAACAAACAUGGGAAACUUGAUGAUCUUCUGAUUGUUGAGACUGGUGUUUGGAGGACAAGGGUACAUUAACUUGAGGGUAUCAGUAUCAACAUGAUCUUCUUCUGCAACAACCACUUGGUCACCAUAUAUUAUUUCGACGCUUUUAUAUGUUUGGCGAAUGUCAUAAAUAGGAACCUUUUGUGAAUUCAAUACCCGAUUUUUAAGACGAGCUAUCUUGUUUUCCCAUUUUUCUUUCACAAUCAUUUCCUUAUCAGUUUUGGUAGGUACAUAUUGCAACUCAUACCUAUCGUUCUUUUCUGGUAGUUCUAACAAUCUCCCCAAUCUAAGGAAAACACCUCCUUCCAACAUGGCUUUGGUAGACUUCAAUGAUUUGGUAGACAGUUUUAGUUCCUUUAAGUGAGAUCCUUCACCAAUGAAGAAAACAUUUUCAAUUUUUAAUGCUUAAAAAGAAUUCUCUAUGGCUUCCUCCGUGUCUUCGAUGUAGCCCAUAGAAGAUAGAUGACUCACUAUCAUAUGUUAUUCCCCAUAUAUUAUUACAAGUUUAUUAUCCACUUAAAACUUUAGCUUUUGAUGGAGAGCGGAAGUCACUGCUCCAACAACAUGAAUCUAUGGUUUCCUUAAAGGGCAACUGUACUUCAGUUUAAUAUCCAUCACAUGGAAGGUUAUUCCAAAGUUAUUGUUGGAACCAAGUUGAUUUUAUAGUUCGAGUUUUGAUGAUAACAAAAGUAUUUUAUGAGAACAAUAUAUUUGACUUCAAAUAGUAUCAAACAAGAUUCAUGUUUUUGAAAAAAAUCUAAAAUGUGAUUUGAUUCAAAUUUAUAAUUGAAGAAAAUCUAAAAUAAGAUUUUAUUCAGAUUUAUAAUUGAAGAAAAUCUAAAAUAAUAUUUGAUUCAAAUUUAUGAUUGAUGAAAAUAAAAAAUAAGAUUUGAUUCAUAUUUAUAAUUGAACAAAAUCUUUGACCAAGUUGAAAAGAAGAUAUGGUCCAGAUUUGAAGAAGAUUUGAUCUAAAUAAUUUACGAGCUCAAUUUAAACAAAAUAUGAACGAAAUCAAUAUGAAGAAUUUACAAACUCAAUAUGAACAAGAUACAAUUCAAAAUUAAAUAAUGACUAAAUUGAAGCCCAAAAUUAACUAUAAAUAAAUACUCAAGGUUAAAGAAGAAAAUCAUUGAAAACCAUAAAAUACUAGCUCAAUCUCAAAAUUCCAAAUUCAUCUUUUACUUCAAAGAGAGAAACACUUGUUCAAGUUUGAAAUAUUUUCGGAGGGUUCUUUUCUUAGAGUGUCCCAUUUAGUUGAAUGCCUCUAUACACAAUUGGAUAUCUAAACAAUUUAAGUUUAAUAACUAUUGGUUAGAGCAUGAUAAUUUUUUCAACUUUGUGAAAACAAGUUGGGAAGAUUUUGAAAUUGAAGGGUGGAAAGCUUUUAUUUUAAAGAAAAAGUUAUGUCUGCUUAAGUAUCAUCUUAGAAGUCGGAAUAGAGAUGUUUUGGCAUCAUGGAUUCAAAGCUUAACAAAAUAGUUGAAGCUCUAAAUAACCUAGACACAAUGGUUGCAGUUGGUUGAGAUAUUGAUUUUGAGUUGAAUCAACUUCUCAAUAAUAACUUGUGGAAACAAAUUCGUGCAAAAGAAAAUAUUAUUUUACAUAAAUAUUGGAUGUAGUGGGCAAAUGAGAGAAACACCAAUACAAAAUAUUUUCAUGCUUGUAUGUGGAGGGCAAACAUUAUCAUAGGAACCAAAUUCUUGAAAUUCAAGGAAUUGAUGGUGUGGUGUAUGGGGUUCGGGAGGUAAAAAAGAAGUUAAAAAAAAUUAUAGGUGUAACACCCCGUUUUUCAAAGCGAGGGUAUAUUUUUUUUUUGAAAGAAAUUAAAAUAAAACAAAGUAAAACAAAUGAGGAAAUGUCUUUGGAUAAAUAAUUGAGUCAUUAUAAUUUACAAGCAGCGGAAAAGUUUCUCCAAUUAUAAAUCCAAAACAUUUACACAACAUCAAAUGGUACAUGGAACCCAUUCAAAGAUGAUGUCAAACUGAUAAUAUUUGUAUAAGUACAGUUUUCCAAACUAAAAAUACUCCAAACCAAAAAGAAGGACCCCUAGUCCCUAUACAUCAUCCUAAUCUGAUCAUCCUACCAAAAAGCUAUACACCCUGAGUAAUCUCCACGCGCCCCGUGAGAUCCUCCUAACGUAACUGCAGUCAAGCGUUCCCAUCUCCAUUCCUGUCCGUAGGGUACGAACCGGUAGGGCCGUCCUGACUCUCAUCUGAGGGCAAGGCCCAAAUUUCCACAAUAGUUGUAAAGGGUCACCAACCAGAAAAUAACAGUUAACACAUAGCAAUUAAGUUUUUGAAUGCUCAAAACAACUUUUCAACUAAGCAUGCACCUUAACAGGAUUUUCAAUAUGCGAAAAGUUCAUACAAUACAUUGCCAAUUAAAAUGAAGGUAAAAUGCAGUUCUUGAUCUCCUAAUUAACACAUAAUAAAAUAGGACAUGGAUAAGUCAAUGAGAAAUCAAUCAUCUAACUCAAACUGAGGAUGUUCACUGAGCCAAUCGAUUGGGGUGAAGGUUUUUAAUGAAAACAGAAUCCUGGGCUGAAUCAAUCGAUUUGGCAAUCGAUUGACAGGAUAACGGAGCCCCUGACUUAAUACCAAUCGAUUUCCAAAUCGAUUUCCUGAAGGUUUUUAGUGAAAUUUUGAACUCUGGCUUGAUUCAAUCGAUUGGGCAAUCGAUUGACAGGAUAGCUGAGCCCCUGACUUAAGGGCCAAUCGAUUUCCAAAUCGAUUUGGUCGAAUAUGGAUGAGUCCCUGACUUAGGCCCAAUCGAUUGGGCAAUCGAUUUCGUAAAUGAUUUUCGAAAAACUGAUUACAAAAUCGAUUGGCUAAUCGAUUUUGUCCAUUUGGCCAAGUCCCUGUUUACUAUCCAAUCGAUUGGGAAAUCGAUUUACCUGUGUAUUCUUUCAAAAAUUCAUAAACUAACUCAAUCACAUUCAUACAUAAUCCCAAUUCUUAACACUUAACACUGAUAACACAAUUACUACGACAUCAUGGAUUUCGAAAUGGUAUUGCAAUCAAACAUGUUAUCACCAAAUUCCAAAACAUAACACUUAGCAUUUAUAACACAUUACUACACAAACAAAAUGAACCAACAGUUCACAAAUCAACAGGGUGUAGUCUCUCGCGGACAAACACAAUUCCCUCAGGAACGUAAGUCGUAAACGUACUACCUAUCACGGGUCCGUACCGUUUACCGAGGUGCCACCUAUCCCGGGUCAGCACAACUUACCAAAACAUACACGAGUAAACGAGACAUUAAGAGAUUCCCCAUUCUUAAUUCUCAUCUAACUUAAACCAGGGCGUAGUCUCUCACGGACAAACCCCUGCGCAGUCUCUCACGGACAAACGCAAUUCCCGCAGGAACGUAAGUCGUAAACGUACUACCUAUCACGGGUCCGUACUGUUUACCGAGGUGCCACCUAUCCCGGGUCAGCACAACUUACCAAACACAAUUCCCUCAGGAACGUAAGUCGUAAAAGUACUACCUAUCACGGGUCCGUACUGUUUACCGAGGUGCCACCCAUCCCGGGUCAGCACGACUUACCAAACGUAAAUCGUAAACGUACUGCCUAUCACGGGCCCGUACUGUUUACCAAGGUGCCACCUAUCCCGGGUCAGCACGAUUUACCGAAACACACAUAAAAAAGCGAGACAUUAAGAGAUUCCCCAUUCUUAAUUCUCAUUUAACUUAACGAUUUUCAAGACAAAACAUUCAGUAAAUAAGUCAUUAAGAGAUUCCCCAUUCUUAAUACUCAUUUACUGAAACGAUUUUCAAAAACGAACAUUAAGUAACCGAGACAUUAAGAGAUUCCCCAUUCUCAACGCCCAGUUAACUUAAACAAUUUUCCAAACAAAAUAAUAAGUAACCGAGACAUUAAGAGAUUCCCCAUUCUUAACGCCCAGUUAACUUAAACAAUUUUCCAAACAAAAUAAUAAGUAACCGAGACAUUAAGAGAUUCCCCAUUCUUAACGCCCAGUUAACUUAAACGGUUUUCAAAACAAAAUGUUAAGUAACCGAGACAUUAAGAGAUUCCCCCUCCUUAACGUCCAGUUAACUUAAACGGUUUUCAAAACAAAAUAUUAAGUAACCGAGACAUUAAGAGAUUCCCCAUUCUUAACGCCCAGUUAACUUAAACGAUUUUCAAAACAAAAUAUUAAGUAACCGAGACAUUAAGAGAUUCCCCCUCCUUAACGUCCAGUUAACUUAAACGGUUUUCAAAACAAAAUAUUAAGUAACCGAGACAUUAAGAGAUUCCCCAUUCUUAACGCCCAGUUAACUUAAACGAUUUUUCUUUAAAACAAAAUAUUAAGUAACCGAGACAUUAAGAGAUUCCCCAUUCUUAACGCCCAGUUAACUUAAACGAUUUUUCUUUAAAACAAAAUAUUAAGUAACCGAGACAUUAAGAGAUUCCCCAUUCUUAACGCCCAGUUAACUUAAACGAUUUUUCACAAACAAACGCACAUUAAGUAAACGAGACAUUAAGAGAUUCCCCAUUCUUAACGCCCAGUUAACUUAAACGAUUUUUCUUUAAAACAAAAUAUUAAGUAACCGAGACAUUAAGAGAUUCCCCAUUCUUAACGCCCAGUUAACUUAAACGAUUUUUCUUUAAAACAAAAUAUUAAGUAACCGAGACAUUAAGAGAUUCCCCAUUCUUAAUACUCAUUUAACUUAAUGGUUUUCAAAUUUCACACAACACAAACUCAACAAAUUCUCACAUCAAAACAUAUCAAUUCAUUUAUUCACAAAUCCAACCAUACACAUAUCAAAUUUCAUCAAUAUCAAUUAAGAGCAUGUCAAAAACAACGAACACAAAUCGACACAAUCCACUACUCAAAACACACAAGUUUCAUUUACCCAAAAUCUUACACAAUGACUUCAAAUUCAUUUACCACGAACCAUUCAUCAAUAUAAACAAAACCUAACUCUAAGGUUUUACCCAUAACGCAUUAGUUUCGUUUUUCCCCAAAUCGAUACAUUAAACCCUAACAAAUUCCUUCCCACACAACCACAGAUAAGUCCCUAAUGCAAACUAGAAGUUUGGAAGGAGCCCUUACCUCAACGUUAGCUUUAACGCGCGUUUCCGGUACCGCGAGUAAUUCCGGUAAAUUUUCCGCUCGCAACGCCGCUUCCAAAUUAGUUCACUAGCACCGUAGCGUGGUGGUGAGCAACUUUCCCUUCUGUCUCUUCGAGAAAUGAGGUUCGGAUCUAGAAGAAACGGAGGGGUUUGUGUUUGGAUCUCAAAAACCAUUUUUCUUCGUUUUCGAAUCAAAGAGGAAGAGUGGAGUUACGAAAACCUUGAUCUAACUCUCACCCAACCUUGGGUCACUAGCUUUGAAGAAAAGGAAGCAACGAAAACGAAAAAUGGAGAAGGAUGGAAUUUUGGGUUUUGCUCGCGUGAGGUUCAGAGGAAGGAGAUGGAAAUUUGAAAUUUCCUUCCUUUCUUUUUCUUUCCUUUGUUUUUCCUUUCUUCCUUUUUCCUUCCUUCCUUUAUAUACUAUUUUCUUUUCCUUUUCCUUCCUUCUAGUUUUCCUUUCUUUUUCCCUCCAAACAAACAUAUAAGAAUAUAAUAAAUAUAACUUAACAAAUAUCACAAAAUCUAGAUAUUUAUUAAAUUACCGUUUCACCCGAAACGCAUAAAAUUAACCGUAAAGUAUUCACCGCAGUUAAUUUCAAUUUAUUUAUCGACGAGAAAUUCUAAUUGGCAUCGAAAUAUCUUUUUGAUUAUAAAACUCCAAAAUAUAAUUAACUUUGGCUUAAAAACCUCCGAGCCAAAAUCCAAAAUACACCAAAAAUACAUAAAUGGUACUUUAAAAUUAUGGGUCUUACAAUAGGCAUUAUAUGUGGAGGAUAUUUUUUCAAGACCAAUGCUAAAUAAAAUUCAUUUUAAGAAAACCGACGAGGUUGAUAACUUAAUAUUGAUUGAUAAAUUCUCACCAGAAGAGAUCAAAUAAAUUGUUUGGAGUUGUGAUGGAAAAAAGAGUUUGGGUCUUGAAGGAUUCAAUUUCAUCUUCUUUAAGGCAUGUCCGGAUAAAGUCAAAGCAAAUGUUAUAAGCUUUGUAAAUGAAUUCCAUGAAGAUUUGAAAUUACCAAAAGGAAUCAUUGCCGUCUUUUUGGAACUUCUUCCAAAGAAGGAUAAUUCAAGACUCUUGAAGAAGUAUAAGUCGAUUUCGUUAAUUGGCAGCUUAUAGAAAUUUGGUUUCCAAUAUCUUAGCAUAAUGAUUGAAGAGUGUGCUAGGAACCGUUAUUUCAAGACAUCUAUCAAUUUUUUUUUUUAUCAAAGUGGCAAAUAUUGGAUGGAGUGUUGGUGAUGAAUGAAUUGGUUAAUCUAACAAAGAGGGGAAAAGGUAAGUGUAUUGUGUUGAAGGUAGAUUUUGAGAAAGUAUAAGAUUCAAUCAGUUAGAACUAUAUGGAGUUUAUGAUGAGUAACACAAGCUUUACCUCUUGUUGGCAGAGUUGGAUGAAGGCACGUGUGUUCUCAAGUACCUUGCCAAUGCUUGUAAAUGGUAUCCUGAAGAAUUUUAAAUUCGAAAGGGGCUUAAGCAGGGGGAUCUCUUAACACCUUUUCUAUUCCUAUUAGUGUUUGAAGGACUAUUUGGGAUGGUGAAAAAAGCUGUGAACCCAGUUUUAUUUCACGGGUUUCAUGUCUCUCAAAACAUUUCUUUUCCCAUACUACAAUUUUCUAUAAUACUAUUUUGACGCAUGACGAAAGUUGGGAUAAUUUGUGGGCAUUUAAAUCCAUACUAAGGGGUUUUGAAUUAGUAUCCGAAUUGAAAGUGAAUUUCUUCAAAUGUGGUAUCUUUUUGCAUUAAUAUACAUUAGAAUUUUAUUCGAGUUGCCUCAACUUUUUUAUCUUACGAGGAUGGUGUUAUCCCAUUUAAGUUUUUGGGAUUAAUUGUUGGUGCCAUUCUUAGAUGCAAAAGUACUUGGACAUUUAUUUUAGAAUCUAUGAGGAUAAGACUAUCGAGUUGGAGUUGAAAACAUAUUUCUAUGUGUGGAAGAGUUACUUUAAUAAACUCAAUGCUUGGAAGUUUACCUUUGAAAUUCUUAUUUUUUUAUAAGAUUCCAAAAAUAGUAAGUAAAGAGAUUAUUUUUAUCCAACGAAAUUUUCUUUGGAGAGGAAAUGAAGAAAAAAAGAAAAUGAUGUUAGAAUAGUUGGAAUAAGAUUUGUUUACCUAAGGAAUAUGGAAUUCUUGGAAUAAAAAAAAAGUGGAAACUUUCAAUGAAUCCUUGUGAUUCAAAUGGAAAUUUAGGUGUUUGGAGGAUCAUCUUCAAUGAAAAUUCCAUUACAGCUUUGCAAAAUUUUAAAGAAAUUGAAAUGAUGUCUAUGCAAUGAUAUCUAUCUAUAUAUACUACAAUUAAUUAAUACUUUAAGGAAUAUUUUAUUUAUUAUCAUAGUUUUACUAAUGAUUAAAUAUAAAACUGCAUAAACAUUAUAUACGACAUUAAAUACUGCUUAAUCAUAUUGGUAAGAAUUAUUUACAACUUGAAAAAUAUAGGUAAUGAAUAUUUUAAUGCACUAUGUUUAAACUUAAAUAAUAUUUUUAUAUAAAAAAUGAUAUAUUUGUUGUUAAAGGAAAAAAAUUUGAAUACUGAGAAUAAAGAAAAUAUUUAAGAAAAAUAUUUGAAUACUGAAAAUAUUUAAGGAAAUUAUUUAAAGAAAAAUAUAUCAAUUUAUAAUUGAUACAAAUAAUUCAAAUACUGAGAAUAAAGAAAUUUGUUGCUAAACUAAUUUCUAAUUUUAAUUAUCAAAAUUUAUAUGCGUAUUUAAAUAUUUAAUAAAACACUCAUUUGGUCAUUAACUCAUGAAUAAACUAUAUAUUAUUAAUCACGAAAAAAAAAAUAUUUAUUUAACAAAUAUUUAAAUAAUUUUUAACUCAACACACACAUAUAUCGUGCAAAUGUUGACUUGUACAAUGACCAAAUUUUUGAUAAUGUUUAUUUAAACUUAUUAAAUUGACAAUAUUAAGGAAUACAUUAGUCUUACACUAAAUUUUAUUUUAAAUAUAAAAAAAAAAUCUACCAUUAACUUUUUUAUGUAUUUCUGUAACUUUUAAAAUAUAUUGAUUUUAGUGAGUAGAAAUUAAAUUCUAAAAAAUAAAUAAGAUUGAAUUAAAUAUUUAAAAAAUUAGCUAGUAAUUAACUAUAUAUCACUAAUCACAACAAAAAUUUAAAUUUAUUUAACAAAUAUUUAAAUAAUUCUGUAACUCAGCUUAUAUUUAUACCUUGCAAAUGUUGUACGUUGACCUAUUUUUUAGAUGAAGUUUAUUUAAAAUUACUAAAUUGACAAUAUUUUAAAAAUCCAGUAGUCUUACACUAAUUUAAUUUUAAAUAUAAAAAAUCAUCUUUCAAAAGAUUGUUUCUAAGUAUUUCUAUAAUUUUGAAAAUAUAUUGAUUUUAGAUAUUAGAAACUAAAUUAUAAAAAGUAAUCAAAUUAAAUUGAAGUUAUUGAAAAAGGUGGAGAUAAUAUUUAAGAGGUAGAUGUAAUGAUAGUAAGACUCUGUGAGCAGAAAACGAUUCACAAAAAAAUCUCAUCACUAUAUUAAAAACAAGUACAUAUGAAGAAUUUAAUUGAAUAUGAUUACUAAAUCAUUUCUUGGAAUGAAAAGGUACAAAUUUAUUGCAACAUAAUUUAAAAGAGAUUCAUUCACAAGGAAUGCCACUAGAGAAAGGAAUGACUUGUAUCCAAAAUAAUCCCCUUAAUCAUUCCUUCAUUCCCUUUAUUUGUAUUGACAAGAGAAAUAUUUUCUAUUAGGGAUUCUUUCUCUCUUGCCCCUCCUUCGCUCCAUGAUGCAAGGAUCAUUCACCACACGUCCUUGAUUUCCUUCUUUUUGUCCUUUUCCUUCAACAUCCAUAUGUUGCUAGCUCCAUAUAUUAUCCUUAAUCAUCACAUUACUCCCCUCAUUAACAAGAAGCUUGUCCUCAAGGUUAGGAUAAUUGGUAUGAAACUCAGACCAAUUUUUCCAAGUAGUUUCUGUUGGUGCCACGCCUUCCCACUGCACUUAUACUUGGUGCACAGGUUGACCAUUUUGAAUGACAUUACGAUGAUCCAUAAUGGCAAGGGGCAGCACUAUUGGUCCUUGCUCAGUGGUGGUCAAUGGUAGUGGCAGCAGUUGUGUAGAAUGAUCUCCUUUACAUAAUUUCAAAGUAGAAAUAUGGUACACAGGUCAGAUUUUGGCAGUUGGAGGAAGCAUGAGCUUAUAAGCAACCUGACCAAUUCACAGGAAAAGGACCAAAGUAAAGCAUAUUAAGCUUGUGAUUACGCCUUAAAACAACUGAGUGUUGUCUAUAUGGUUGCAAUUUGACAAGAACCAUAUCACCAAUUUGAAAGUCAACACAAUGACGCUUGGUGUCGGAAAACUUUUUCAUAAUUUGUUGAGCGCGUGCCAGAAUAGAUUUGAGAGUUGUAAUGGUAUCAUCUCUUUCAGUUAACAUAUGUUGCAGCAAGGGAGGAUCAACAUUGUUAACUUCAUAACAAAUUAGUUUGGGAGGAUCGCGUUGUACACUACUUUGAAAGGUGUCAUUCCAAUACUAGUUUGGAAGGAAGUGUUGUGCCAAAUCUCGGCCCAAGACAAUAAUUUGGACCACCGUGGAGGUGAUUCACUAGUGAAACAGCAUAGGUAAAGCUGCAAACAUUUGUUAACAACUUCAGAUUGCCCAUCAGUUUGGGGGUGAUAGGCAGUGCUCAUAGCCAAGGUAGUGCCACUGAGUUUGCACAAAUGUUGCUAAAACUGAUUGGUAAAUACACGAACUCUGUCAGAUAUAAUUGUCUUAGGAAAACCAUGAAGUUUAACUACUAUGUGAAGGAAAACAUCAGCAGCUUUGGAGCUAUUAUAAUCAGCUUUGAAGGGCAUGAAUUGGUUAUAUUUGGAAAGUCUGUCAACAACCACAAAAUGAUAGUGUAAGUAUUGGAUGAAGGCAAUCCAAUUAUGAAGUCCAUUGAUAAAUCCUCCCAAAUUUGUUGUGGAAUGGGUAGUGGCUGUAGUAACCCUGCUGGCAAGGCAGUAGAAUGCUUUGCUUGUUGAUAAAUUAAGCAUUUCGAAAUGAACUCCUUAAUGUCUUUUGCCAUAGUAGGCCAAAAGAAUUGAGAGGCUAUGUGAGCUUUGGUGCGUGUGACUCAAUCAUGGCCCCCAAUAGCAGAAGAGUGAAAUUCAGUGAAGAUGAUGUGAAUCAAGUCGAGCUUCUGGGGUAUCACCAACCAAUUUUUCCAAAAUAACAUGUCAUGCUUGACCUAAUAAUGUGGUGUAGAAUUGGUUCCCAACAAGCAUUGAUUUCGAAUCUCCGCUAAAGAAGGGUCAUUGUUCACAGCUAUAGAUAUCAUUGAGAUAAGUUGAGGAGUUUGCAUAGACAACGCCAAGCAGAAAAAAUAUGAUAGACUAUCAGCUGCUAUGUUAUCAAUACCAGGUUUGAUUUCAACAGUAAAAUCAUAGCCAAGGUAUUUGUGAAGCCAAUGUUGUUGCUCUGGGGUUUGAAUUGACUGAUCAGUGAGGGAUUUGAGGUUGUGUUGAUCAGUUUUGAUAACAAACUUAUGGCCAAUGAGAUAAUGACGAAAUUUUUCCAAAGCUUCGGUGAUGGCAUACAACUCUCGCACAUAAGCGGAUUGUUUUUGUAUUCGAUGCCACAAUUUCUUUGAGAAAUAAGCAAUAGGAUGGCGAGCUUGACUGAGCACAGCUCCAAUGCCCGAACCUGAUGCGUCUGUUUCCAAGGUGAACGGUAAUCGAAAAUCUGGCAAAGUCAAAACAGGGGCUUGUGUGAUGGCUUAUUUGAGCUUAUUAAAAGCAUCAGUAGGAGCUGGUGUCCAAAUAAAAGCAUUUUUUUUUUUAACAAUUCGGUAAGUGGUGAAGCAACAACAGCAUAAUUGCGAAUAAAGUGCCGGUAAUAGCCAGAUAACCCUAAAAUCCCACGAAGUUGUUUGAGUGAAGUAGGGAUUUUCCAUUCCAAUACAGCUUGAAUUUUUUAUUUUUCCAUCUCAACCCCUUGACUGAAUAUGGUGUGGCCUAGAUAAUCCACUAAGGUGAGACCAAAACAACAUUUGGAGAAUUUGGCAAACAAGUCAUGUUGUUGCAGCAGUCCUAACACAAUUUCCAAAUGUUCAGGGUGGGAAGACCAAGAGUGGUUGUACACAAGUAUAUCGUAAAAAAAACCAGUACAAACUUGCGUAAUUGGUCACGAAAAACAGAGUUCAUAAGACUUUGAAACGAAGUCGGGGCAUUGGUGAACCCAAAAGGCAAUACAAGCCAUUCAUACAAACCUUGAUGAGUUCUAAAACCAGUCUUACGACGAUUCUCGGGAUGGACUAGGAUUUGGUGAUACCUAGAUUGCAAAUCCAACUUAGAAAAGUAAGCAGCUCCAAACAAUUCGUCUAACAAUUCAUCCACUGUGGGUAUGGGAAAACUAUCCUUGAUGGUAAUCGCGUUUAAUGCACGAUAAUCAGUGCAAAAGCGCCAGGAUCUGUCCUUCUUUUUUACUAACAAAACUGGUGAGGAAAAUGGACUCGUGUUGGGCUCAAUAAUGCCUUGCUUCAACAUCUCGGACACCAUGUUUUCAAUCUCAGCCUUCUGACUGUGUGGAUAACGGUAGAAUUUGACCUUCACAGGGUUACUCCCAUCAAUGAGAGAGAUCAAAUGAUCUUGAUCUCUAGGUGGCGGUAAGCGUGUGGGUUCAUCAAACACAUUCCAAUAAUUGUGUAACAGAGUAGCCAAGUCAACCAGGAGAUUCUCAAGAGAAGCUGUUGAUGAUGGUUGUGCUAUGGAAUGGAAUUGCAAUGUAUAUGAUAAAUCAAUAGAAUGAGUAUUCUGAAGACGACGAAUGUGAUGAAAUUGGGACUGUCAUGGUUCUGUGAUUUGAUUACCUCUAAGAGUGAUGAAUUUGUUGUUGAGGUAGAAUUUAAUGGACAAAGCCUCGUAAUCCGCAAUGUGAGGACCCAAAGUCUUAAGCCAAGGCGCGCCCAAAACCAAAUCAGCGCUAGUAAUUGGUAGCAAAUACACCGAAAGGUGGAGAGUAUGACCUUGAAUGGUUACUGGCAAGUCCUGAAUCAACCUAGAAGUUGUUAAGGUGCUACCAUUGCCCACGAGGACUUGAAACUGAGAAGCUUCGUGGAUUGUUAGUUUCAAGCAUUGAGCAAUACGAGGUUGGAGAAAGUUAUCAGAGCUACCACUAUCAAGUAAAACUUGUAUUUGGACGCCUUGAAUUUGACCUUGGAAACCAAUUGUGCCAGCACUAUACACUCCUUUGAGAGCAUGAAAUGAGAGAUGGUGCUCUGACUCAAGGACAACGAGUAGUGGAUCCGAAUCUGGAGGAUCCGUUUCUGGCUCUGGUGGAUCCAAAUCAUCGACUUGCAACAAGAGGUAGUGUUUAUUAGGACAACGAUGGGUAGGGGAAAACUUUUCAUCAUAAUAGAAACAUUGUCCUUUGUCUCGCCAGAGUUGAAUCUCACCCGCGGUGAUACUACGUAUUGGGCGAGCUCGGGAAGUUGGAGGUUGGGAAUGCGUUGAAGGUGUGGGUAAGAGAGUGUUUGUGGGUCGGGUCAGGGAGUGUGGGUUGGAAUUGGAGAAAGAUUUUUUGGGUUGGGGGAUGAGCUUAGUAAGCGAGGUGUAUUUUUCCUCAAAGUGUUUGGCUAGGGACAGGGCUUUGGAUAAUGAGAUAAGGUUUUGGGCUAUAACGUCGCGGCGAAGGUCAGGCUUAAGCCCACUCACAAAACAAUCCAAAAUUGCAUUUGGUGAGAGACCCGGGGUGCGAUUAGCAAGUGCAGUGAAUGUGGAAUAAUAUUCAUAGACGGUGGUGGUUUGGGUUAAUUUGAAAAGGGUGGGUCCGAGAGAUUCAUACGGCGACGGUCCAUAUUCCAAUUCCUAAGCACGAGUGAAAGAUACCCAAGAUCUAAAAGGGUUGUUACGAGUAAUCACGUUGCACACCUGGAAAGGUUGUUGUCGCGAUGAGACGUUGGAGUUCAAGCUACCAUUCAAAACGGUAGAGAGCUAGAAACUGCCAAGUUUUGCCUCGACCUGCUCGAGGCACGUCAUAUCAGCAUGACGGUGUUGCAUGUAGUCGUUAUGUCGUGCCUCGGCGUCGUCCAUCAUCUUCUGUAUCGCGGCGUUGAUGAUGUUGAUUGCAGCUUCCAUACCUUUCAUACUAUUCCGCCAUGGUAAGUUCAACGAAAGCACCAAAUGUAACAAUAGUAAAACUCUGUGAGCAGAGAACGAUUCACAAAAAAAUCUCUUUACUAUAUUAAGAACAAGUACAGAUGAAGAAUUUAAUUGAAUAUGAUUACUGAAUCAUUUCUUGGAAUGAAAAAGUACAAAUUUAUUGCAACACAAUUUAAAAGAGAUUCAUUCACAAGGAAUGCCACUAGAGAAAGGAAAGACUUGUAUCCAAAAUGAUCCACUUAAUCAUUCCUUCAUUCCCUCUAUUUGUACUGUCAAGAGGAGUAUUUUCUGUUAGAGAUUCUCUCUGUCUUUCCCCUCCUUCGCUCCAUGAUGCAAGGAUCAUUCACCAUGUGUCCUUGAUUUCUUUCUUUUUGUCCUUUUCCUUCAGCAUUCAUCUGUUGCCAGCUCCAUAUAUUAUCCUUAAUCAUCACAGUAGAUGAAGCGACAAUACUUCAUUUAUAGACGAAGUUUGUAGCGGGCUGUACUCGUGGUCGAGUUAUGGCAUUGGAGAUUUGUUUGUCAACCUUUGGCGUGGGUGCACAUCUUUUACCCAACAAUCUGAUAAUCGUGAUGGGUCCAUAACUGUGAUCUCUUUGGAAGCGGCGAGGGAGGCUAGAAUUAAAGCAGACGACUUAGGAUGCAAUAGUCCAGCUUAUGUAACUUAAGAUCCAAUAUUAUGUAACUUCUAAUGUGAACUUAAGAUUGUCCGAAAGAUCUAAUGGGAACUUAAGACGUCUUAAGAUCUAGUAUUAUGUAACCACGAGGUCCAAUAUUAUGUAACUUAAGAUCACAUUAGACAUCUUGGGUAGGAGGUUACUUGUUUUGAUUAAGCGGUUUGUAUUUUGUAUGAUAAUAUUAUAAGUUACUAAUUUUGAAUAAAUUGACAAGUGGUAACCGUAAGUAGGUUGUUACGAGUUAUUUUAAAUUUAACUUUUUUGUUUCUAAAGAAUAUUUUUAGAAUUAAUAGUUGACGAUUCAUCUUAAGACCCACUCAGUCUUAUUUUAUUUCGUCUCGUCAUUAUUGAACAUGCGACUAAUUAAAUUUAGUCGACUUCAAGGACGGAUUAUAGCUUAAAAAUAAAAAUUGACCCGAUCAAAUAUUUUGAUUGAGUAAAGAACACACAAAUUCAAACCUAAGACGUACUAAUAAAUAUAUUAGGCAAAGUGCUAAAAGUCCUAUUUCCAAGGCUUCCCGUAAAUAGUUGAGCUUUAAUUACAAAUUUAUGAGUAGCAUUGAAUUCUCAACAAACAAAGAUUAUUAGUUUUGUGAUUAAUCAUUUUCAGUGAUAUAAUUCCAAUGUUUAGUAAUAUAUGAAUAUUUUACAAAUUCUUGUAAAUGUGAUUAGACUGGAAAUAUUACUUACAGUUAAUAAAUCAUAAUUUGGUUUUCACUAACAUGUAAACGUGAUUAGCGUAGAAAAUAUCUAUUUAUUUAUCUAUUAUUUUAUGAAAUAUUUUAUUUAUUAUUAUAGUUUUAUUCUGAAGUAGUAUUGAAAAUGAUUUUAACUAUUUAUUUAAAUAUAUUAGUAAAGACAUUUGACUAACCUUCUUCGAAAUUUUAAUCAUAAAUAUUAUCUCAAGGAUCAUUUUAUUUAUUACACAUGUAUUAAUUAUUAAAUAUAAACAACAACCUCCUCAAAUUAUAUGCAAAACUACCCCUCUCCAUAUUUUAUUAUCUUUUAUAAACCUCUUUUCCACUUCAAAAUUUGUGCUGUAAUAUUUAAUUAUUUUUCUUUUGAUAUUUUUUUUCCUGUUUUAGUCAAAUAAAAUAAAAAUCUUCUUACCACUAUAAUAAUAAGAUUUUUUGUAUAUAUAUAAACCAUUUUGUUAAAGAAAUAUAAAAGUUAUUUUAACUCUUAAAAAAUCAUUGUCCAAUCCUUAAAUGUUAGCUGAAUUAAUACAAAUAUCAAUAUUAUUAAAUUAAAUAUUUUAUUUUGAAUUCUAACCGAACCAAAAUAUCUAAAUUAUGUAAAUUAAUUAUAAUAUAAUUAAUUAUUUUUUUAAACUAAGAAAAUAAAAUUACUAUUCAUACUCAGGUAUAAAUCGAACACUUUCUAAAAGGGUUACAAUAUUGUGGGAUUUAGAAUCGGGAGCUUCUAAUGCGAUCGUCCGAAAAGAGGAAAUAUUCUAUAGCGCCUAAAUCCAAGACGUUGAAAUUUAUUUGUAAAUUUAUUUGUAAAUAAUCAAUAAUCAAAUACAUGUUUCUCUUUUAACUAAUUUAUUUGUAAAUUAUCAUAUUUUAAUUAAGUUGUUAAUGAUAAACAUAUGUUGUGCAUUUUUUGUCUUCAUUUUUUGCGUAUAUAAUUUGUAUGAUAAAUUAUAAUUAGUAUAUUAUAACUUUUUUUAUUUAAAAAAAUUCAAAUGAAAAAUUAAUAAUCUAAUGCAUAUUUUUCUAAAUUAAUAGAUUCAUUAAUGACAAUCUUAAAAUAAUUAAUUAGUGGCUAACAUUUGUCCUGUAUAUGUUUUGAUAAAUUAUUUAUGGAAAAAUAUUAGAAUUCAAAAUUUAUCCAAAUAAUUAAUAUAUUGAAUAAAGAAAUUUAUUGAUCAUAAAACUAAUUUCUAAUUAUAAUUUUUGAAUUUUAUAUACAUAAUUAUUUAAUAAAGUAGUUACUUGAUAACUGAUCCAGUACUUAAUUAACUAUAUACUAUUAAUCAAUAAUCAAAAUUAAAUUUUAUUUUACAAAUAUUUAAAUAAUCUUAUAACUCAACAUAUUUAUAUAUAUAUAUAUAUUGUUAAGACAAAAUCUCAAUUUAAAUGUUUUGAUGAUAAUUAAACAAAAGAUUAAUUAAAUACUAUUAAUUAUGAUUCUAAAUGUUUUGGUAUUUAACAUAUGCAUUUGAGUGUGUUAAAAAAGAUAGGUAUCAAACAUUACAAAACAGAUCGCAUUAAAAUCAAAGAAAGCAAAAGCAGUAAAAUGAAGAUUGAUAUUGAAGUAGUUCUGGAAAACGAAUAUCGAUCUUCGUUUUUGGCAUAAACAAGAAUAAUUAGUUUCUCUGUUAGAAAUUGGAUCCUGGAACUUUAUUCAUCUCAUAUCUUCAUAAGAGAAUAAGCAAGGUUCAAUCUAAGUCAUAAUCAUUCCAGAUAUCGAAGGAUCAAAAAAUAUGCUUCAUUAAAAGCUCAAAACAAGAUCAUUCUUGAAGUGAGGAAAUUACAAUUACAAAGUUGCAUGCUGUAAAAGUACAAUGUUGAUUGUACUGUCAAUUUAGACCUACACACGUGACUGAAAAGCAAGCAAAUCAUCUCAGACAACUGACACAAUCACAUGUACAAGUCAGCUCAUCACCAACAAAUUCAAAGAACGAUCUUGGAUGUUAAGAACGUUUCUGGAUUGAGCAUAAUCACUCUUGCUUUAUGAAUGGCUUUUUCCAACCACUCCUUAAUAACUGUUGGCCCUAUUUAAACGGACAUAUGAGUUGUCCUAAAGAUCAAGAUUGAUCUGUGACAAAUAGUGUGAUAACCAAGAAUAAUCUUGCCUUUGAGCACUUGGUGGAAAAUAUCACAUUUGUGAGGACUGGACGUAACCCGUGUUUGGGUGAACCAGGAUAUAUGCGGUUGUAAUCUCUUUAUCUCUAUCUCUAUUUACUUUAUGUGUGACAAUCAGAUUUCAUAUUGACAACAUUGAUAUUGCUGUUUUUUACUAACCAAGAUCAAUCUUCAUUAUAACCAAGAUCAAUCUUGAGUUGAAGUUUCAGUUUUAAACAAUUUUUUUUUUAAAAGGGGCAAUUAUAAUUCAAACCCCCCCUUCCUUAUAAUUGAAAUUUUUACUUCAUAUAUAUAAAGUUAAAUUUAUUAUUAAGUACUUAGAAUAUUUCAUUCAAAUGUUGACUAGGACUCUCAUCCAUUUUUCAAAUAAGGUUUAUUUAAACUUACAAAAUUGACAUUAAUAAGGAAUACAUUAGGUUUACACGAAAUUUAAUUUUAAAUAUAAAAAUCAUCUAACAAAUUUUUUUUUAAGCAUUUCAAUAAUUUUUAAAAUAUGUUGACUUUAGACAGCAGAAACUAAAUUAUAAUAAAUAAAUCAGAUUGAAUUAAAGAGGAGCCUUUGUGUUAUAGAUAUAUUAGGGAAACUGUUAAAAGUCUUUUCUAAGGCUUCUGACAAAUUUCUUCAACUAAUAAAAGCAAUUAUGAGAAUAUAAUGAAAGCAACAAACAAUUAUCAAUAAUGAAACUCUCAACUAACAAAGAUUAUUAGAUUUAGGGAUUAACCAAAUACUAUUUUAAAGGAUAUAAUUCCAAUAAAUAAUAUACGAAUAUUUUACUUUCUUGUAAAUUUGAUUAGCGUAAAAAAAGAAACUAUUACAUAAAAUUGAUCAUACCAUUUCUUUAGAAGAAAAAUAAAUUUGCUUAUGCACCCAAAUAAAACUCACAUACUGCAAAAUUGAAUGCUGAAAAUAAUUAAAAACAACAAAAAUAAAUUAAUCAUAACUUUUAUUCAUAGCUUUAUUAUAUGUCACAAGGUAAUUGACAUAAAAUAAUUUUAAUUCAUAGCUUUAUUUAAUCGUGUUUUGUGUGACAGCACCAUCCAACCCAUUUGCUGCAACACCAUUUUUGUGGUUGAUAUUCGGCAUUACUUUGUUGUUGUAUAAUUUCACUAAGAUCGUGACGAGUACUUUGUGUGCUUCCCAUCAAAGUACUCACAAUCACUAAGAGCACCAUCACAAACUUCAAAAUCAUCUUCAUUGUAGAUUCCAUUAUGACUUUGCAAAAUAUUAAAUAAAUUGAAA
This 35174-nucleotide long non-coding RNA is filed under the name Cicer arietinum (chickpea). RNAcentral's name for it is "long non-coding RNA (CARI_LNC002103)". The record is from RNAcentral. Lineage: Eukaryota; Viridiplantae; Streptophyta; Magnoliopsida; Fabales; Fabaceae.